Schistosoma curassoni is the source of this 48-nucleotide non-coding RNA. The record is from Rfam. NCBI's taxonomy places the organism in Eukaryota, Metazoa, Platyhelminthes, Trematoda, Strigeidida, Schistosomatidae.
AUCUAUCUGACGAGUCCUAAAUAGGACGAAACUCACGUCAUACUGGAU